RNAcentral lists this long non-coding RNA (570 nucleotides) under Cyanistes caeruleus (blue tit). RNAcentral describes it as "lncRNA (ENSCCEG00000006494.1)". The record is from RNAcentral. Lineage: Eukaryota; Metazoa; Chordata; Aves; Passeriformes; Paridae.
CCCCAUCCUCCCCGUGGGGCUGGCUCUUCCAGCGCUGUCCCCACAGAACCGGUGCUUGAAGCCCUGGUGGGACUGGGAGCAGGUGAUCACCUCGGGCUUGGAGCACCCCAUGUCCACGUUUUUGGUGCCGACCACGAUGUUGCAGCCAUAACACUGCAGUCCAGACACUAAACAAGAACCAGAAGAAACGCGGCUGGGUUUUUUCCGAGAGGGGAAAGACUUCAACUCCUUCCGAGCUGCUCUCUACCGACGGCCCCGCAGCGCUCCCUGCCUUGCCAAGUCGCAUUAAGGCAGAGCCCGGAGCUGCCCGUCACUUGUUUACCCAGUGGGCCCGAAAAUACAGCCUCAUCUCCCACUAGAGGGAUGCUGCUUCACAUUUCACCGGGAGGCAGCACAGGCUGGUCCAAGGAGGGGCAUCUACAGCACAGGAGAGGCAGCUGGCACCUGUGAGAAGUGCCCAAGGAAUGCAACUCAUGGAUUUAAAUCCCUUAAACCACCCACGGUGAUUCACUUGCCUGAAAACAAUGUGAUUGUAAUAAAUGUCUGACACAGGAAAGCCUGAAAGCCUGG